RNAcentral lists this ribosomal RNA (325 nucleotides) under uncultured eukaryote. RNAcentral describes it as "partial 18S ribosomal RNA". It matches the Rfam family "Eukaryotic small subunit ribosomal RNA", at positions 1470 to 1796 of the family's 1831-position model. The record is from RNAcentral.
CCCUUAGAUGUUCUGGGCCGCACGCGCGCUACACUGAUGCAUUCAACGAGCCUAUCCUUGACCGACAGGUCCGGGUACUCUUUGAAUCUGCAUCGUGACGGGGAUAGAUUAUUGCAAUUAUUAAUCUUCAACGAGGAAUGCCUAGUAGGCGCAAGUCAUCAGCCUGCGUCGAUUACGUCCCUGCCCUUUGUACACACCGCCCGUCGCUCCUACCGAUUGGGUGUGCUGGUGAAAUGUUCGGAUCGGCCGUUUGUCGCGGUUUCCGCGUCAUGUGGCUGAGAAGUUCAUUAAACCCUCCCACCUAGAGGAGGGAGAAGUCGUAACA